GAUGAAGAACGUAGCGAAAUGCGAUAAGUAGUGUGAAUUGCAGAAUUCAGUGAAUCAUCGAAUCUUUGAACGCACAUUGCGCCCCUUGGUAUUCCAUGGGGCAUGCCUGUUCGAGCGUCAUUUGUACCUUCAAGCUUUGCUUGGUGUUGGGUGUUUGUCUCGCCUUUGCGUGUAGACUCGCCUUAAAAUAAUUGGCAGCCGGCGUAUUGAUUUCGGAGCGCAGUACAUCUCGCGCUUUGCACUCAUAACGACAGCGUCCAAAAGUACAUUUUACACGCUUGACCUCGGAUCAGGUAGGGAUACCCGCUGAACUUAAGCAUAUCAAUAAGCGGAGGA
Molecule: unclassified non-coding RNA, 336 nt
Filed under: soil metagenome
Description: partial contains 5.8S ribosomal RNA, internal transcribed spacer 2, and large subunit ribosomal RNA
Rfam family: 5.8S ribosomal RNA (bases 1-120)
Source: RNAcentral